Molecule: ribosomal RNA, 146 nt
Filed under: Aureococcus anophagefferens
Lineage: Eukaryota; Pelagophyceae; Pelagomonadales; Pelagomonadaceae
Description: partial Eukaryotic large subunit ribosomal RNA
Rfam family: Eukaryotic large subunit ribosomal RNA
Source: RNAcentral
AAGAGUCGAGUUGCUUGGGAUUGCAGCUCAAAGUGGGUGGUAAAUUCCAUCUAAAGCUAAAUAUUGGUGGGAGACCGAUAGCGUACAAGUACCGUGAGGGAAAGGUGAAAAGAACCCUAGGAAAGGGAGUGCAAUAGAAAGAAAUC